UUGGGGACUUUAAUAAUUUUCUUAUCUUUCUUAUUUUCAUUUUUAAUUUUGGAAAUCACCAUUGCUAAAGCUUAGUUUGAACUUGAUUACUUUACUGAGUUUGAAUGAAAUAAAAGGAGGCUAGAAGAGAAGACGACGAACAUUUUUUGUCGUUGGAGUUCUCAAAUGUUGUAGACUUGUAGUCAUAUUUUGAUAUGUUCAUCAAGGUAGAUCAUAAUCA
RNAcentral lists this long non-coding RNA (220 nucleotides) under Arabidopsis lyrata. RNAcentral's name for it is "long non-coding RNA (ALYR_LNC000616)". Lineage: Eukaryota; Viridiplantae; Streptophyta; Magnoliopsida; Brassicales; Brassicaceae. The record is from RNAcentral.